CCUACGGGUGGCAGCAGUGAGGAAUAUUGGUCAAUGGGCGGGAGCCUGAACCAGCCAAGUCGCGUGAGGGAAGACGGUCCUACGGAUUGUAAACCUCUUUUGCCGGGGAGCAACGGGGUCCUUGCGAGGGCCCGCUGAGAGUACCCGGAGAAAAAGCAUCGGCUAACUCCGUGCCAGCAGCCGCGGUAAUACGGAGGAUGCGAGCGUUAUCCGGAUUUAUUGGGUUGAAAGGGAGCGUAGAUGGGUUGUUAAGUCAGUUGUGAAAGUUUGCGGCUCAACCGUAAAAUUGCAAUUGAUACUGGCAGUCUUGAGUACAGUUGAGGUAGGCGGAAUUCGUGGUGUAGCGGUGAAAUGCGUAGAUAUCACGAAGAACUCCGAUUGCGAAGGCAGCUUACUAAACUGCCACUGACAUUGAUGCUCGAAAGUGUGGGUAUCAAACAGGAUUAGAUACCCUAGUAGUC
This 461-nucleotide ribosomal RNA is filed under the name uncultured bacterium. RNAcentral describes it as "partial 16S ribosomal RNA". It matches the Rfam family "Bacterial small subunit ribosomal RNA", at positions 338 to 795 of the family's 1533-position model. The record is from RNAcentral.